AUGGCCGGCUUUGAUCUCAAUGAGCUUCCUGAUGACUUUGUUGACUGUGAUGGUGGUCCCCUGUUCUGCACACAAGCCCAACCUGAAAAAGUCCCCAUUUCAAUCAAGGGGGUGGGCGAGUUGCCGGAUUUGUGUUCUGCUCCUGUCCAAGAUGUCGUAGGUGUGGGGUUUCGUGUUGUGGCUACUGGUGUGUCUGAUGCGACGGCAACUACUGAAACUAUCGCACCCGCACCUGCCAUGUUCAGCCCGGCUGCAACUCUGCCUAGCAAUGGUGGGCAAGGUCAUGCAAGUAGCGCUGGCUUGUUAGGUUUUGAUGAGAACGAGGUGUGA
RNAcentral lists this ribosomal RNA (330 nucleotides) under Triticum aestivum (bread wheat). RNAcentral's name for it is "partial small subunit ribosomal RNA". The record is from RNAcentral. Lineage: Eukaryota; Viridiplantae; Streptophyta; Magnoliopsida; Poales; Poaceae.